Leopardus geoffroyi (Geoffroy's cat) is the source of this 1127-nucleotide long non-coding RNA. RefSeq lists it as uncharacterized. Lineage: Eukaryota; Metazoa; Chordata; Mammalia; Carnivora; Felidae. The transcript has 2 exons. The record is from RefSeq and is a predicted model, not a curated record.
UCCAGGUCCGGCAGCCUGGACAAGGCGUCCACCAUGAUGUAAAAGACAACUCUGUAGCCGCUCAUGAAGUGCUUAUUCGCUGAUCGCAUGAAAAGCUCCAGGUACUGGUCCGUGGUCCUGCAAGACACACACGCGCAUGGAGGAAGCCGCUCCCCGAACGCUCGCGAGAGAGGAACGCGCGUCCCCAAACGUCUAACUUAUGAGUCACCGACGCUCCAGGACCCCCAGCAGGAAAGGGGAGACAGGCCCGGUCUAUAGUUUCGACGGCACUGGUCAGUGAGAAAGGACAUAUUGACCUGGAGGGUCUAGCAAAAAAGCCUUUAAAGUUUUGGAACGACUGUUGGGAAGAAAGAAAAUGUGAACUCCAUGGUAUCUAUAAAAAGGCAGCCAAGUGGCUUUAACGACCCAGCUAAGGAACGAGUCUUUAUUUUUGUUCAGGACAGCCACAUACGGUGGUUGUGGGCAGCUACGGGCAGCCUUUUGGAGGUAGAAGGUCCCCGGGCACUCAUUCGUAUUUUUUUUUUUUUUUUUCAGAAUAAAACGGGGCAAACCGAUGGCCCCUACCUGCCAGUAGCAAGGACAGCCAAGCCUAUGACGAGAAGCCAGUGAAGCCGGUGCCCCAGUGGAGGCCGUCCAAGCGACACCAGCUGACGCCUACACAGCCCUUACCGCGUGCCGGGCACUGUGUUGGUGUUCAUUCGGUCCUUGCAGUGGUCUGUGCGGGAAGCACAAUUAUGGUCCUUGUUCUUGGUGUGCAGAAACAGAGGCACAGAUCGGUGGAGCGAGCUGCCCAAUACCGCAGAGCUGACACAUGUGGGUCAGUACGCGAGGCCCAGCACCUGCUGCUUUUGUCACCACGCCACCUGCCUCUGGGCCCAGGGACGACCUCCUCUGAGCUCCGGCUCAGCUGAACUGAGGCAGCUCAGAGUCAGAACGCCCUCUGGUAUUGCCUGAAGCCAGGGCUGCACGCACGCUACCUCUGCGUCCCUAUGCUUUAUCUUCCCUUCUUCCUCUUUUUCUCUCCCUCCCCCUUCCCUAGAAGAUCCAGAAGGUGCUUUCUCUAAACUUCCCCCUCUUGCAUUAGGUCCAUUAGUGCAAUCUGGCAGAAAUAAAAAGUCUAAAAAGGA